This is a long non-coding RNA of Prunus avium (sweet cherry), 622 nucleotides long. RefSeq lists it as uncharacterized. NCBI's taxonomy places the organism in Eukaryota, Viridiplantae, Streptophyta, Magnoliopsida, Rosales, Rosaceae. The record is from RefSeq and is a predicted model, not a curated record.
UCUUCCCCCGAUUUUAAAGAAAACACGCUGCCUCCACUGAGCCGGGUCCUCCUCUCUCUCACGACAGACCACCACCACCAGGCAUCCACCCACGACGACCACCACAAGGCUGCGACCUGCGACCCUCGACCCCGAACCCCGUAAAUAAUUUGGGUUGUCCUCUUCGGCCAAAACAAGUGCAUUUGCUGAAGACAUCUUCGCAAGAGUGCCCGGUAAAGAAUCUGGUUUGAAUGUGAGUUGUUACUCGAGUAUAUCAGCUAUAUCGGAAACAAGAGAGGGAAGCUGCGAUGUUAGUAAAGAAGCAGAAGACGUAUUCUCUCUUGGAUGCAAAUGGCGAUGAUGGCGAUAGAUCUUCUGCCCAUGUUGUUUUUGAGUCCAGGAAAGCUGAUUCCCAUAAGAAACUACUCAGGAAGAAGGUCUUGAGUCAAGAAGAUGAAGAUGAUGAGGUGAUUGCACAAGAGGAAGAAGAGAGACUUGUUAAAAGACGAAUUCCCCAGAUGACGAUGAUGGUUUGAAUUCUAGUCUAGGAGGCAAAAGCUUGGCAAAGAAGAAAGAAGGUGGGGUAUGUUUGUGUUUGGUGUGAUGUGUGUUUCUCUUUGUACUAUGGUCCUUACUAUUUCAG